CCAUGCGUGUGUGGAUUCGAUUGAUGUCACAUCGCAGACUUUCAGCAGCAGUGGAGAUUGAAGAUUACAUUGGUGGUUUAUUAUAAGCGAGUUUGAUCAUCGCAUAUAAUUUUUCUCAAGGUUUUAUCCUCCAAUUUUAUCCAUCGCGAGGGAGUAAUUGCCGUGGGAAGUAAAUUUACUGUUUGUUAGCGAGUGCAACUUACUGGAAGCGGAAUAUUCGGAUUCAGUCAAUUGGUUCUGGGUGUUGUCGCAGGAAAAUUGAGCAGCAAACAUGCAGGCCAUCAAGUGUGUCGUAGUCGGUGAUGGUGCGGUCGGUAAAACCUGUCUCUUGAUCAGCUACACCACCAAUGCAUUCCCCGGUGAAUAUAUUCCGACCGUAUUCGAUAAUUACUCCGCCAAUGUGAUGGUCGAUGGAAAACCUAUCAACCUAGGCCUGUGGGAUACGGCUGGACAAGAAGAUUACGAUCGGCUGCGGCCACUGUCCUAUCCCCAGACGGACGUAUUUCUUAUAUGCUUCUCGCUGGUUAAUCCGGCAUCCUUUGAGAACGUGCGGGCCAAAUGGUAUCCGGAAGUACGCCAUCACUGUCCGAACAUUCCGAUAAUUCUGGUCGGAACGAAGCUUGAUUUGCGGGACGACAAAAACACCGUGGACAAGCUGCGUGACAAAAAGCUAUCGCCCAUCACCUAUCCGCAGGGUUUAGCCAUGGCCAAAGAGAUCGGUGCGGUCAAAUAUUUGGAAUGCUCGGCGCUCACCCAGAAGGGUCUCAAAACCGUGUUCGACGAAGCGAUUCGAGCCGUCCUCUGUCCCAUCAUACCGGUGAAAAACAAACGUAAAUGUUCAAUUCUGUAAGCAUGUCCUCCCGGUUCCAAAUGUCCCUACCACCAACCCCACAACCACAUUUGCAAAAAACAACGCUAAGAACAAAAGUACAUUAGUAGGCCGGGUGCCAUUGUCCCCAGCAAAAACCAAAACACAACCAUCGAGCAUUAGAAUCCCUCCUUUGUCCUUGUUCUCUCUCGUUGUGGUAUUGAAAGCGACGUUUUCUUGCAUUUUACAUAUAAAAAAAAAGUAACCGCCGUUGAGCGAAACAUUGUAACUGCUAUUGUGCAGCAAAUGGUUGUUAGUAUUUUUUGGCAGAGAAGAAAAGGUUUAAGCAGAAAAGUGUCGAAUAAUGUCAUGGAAGCAGUAGGAGGUUUAAAUCGAAUAUCGAAGCUGGAUGCCGUCAAGCAACUUUAACGAAAACACAGAGGGAGAGACACAGGAACCGGAAACGAGGCUGAUCAAUUGAGCAGAUUGGCCUCUUAUAAAUGGCACACUCAAACACCGAAACCACACAAAUCAAAGUGAAUGCAACUAGCUACUAGAGUUACUCUUUCUCUAAUGUCAUCGUCAUUCUGCAACCGUUCUCUUUCCGUGCAUUUGGAAGUGUUCGAGGUUUCAUUAGAAAUCGUACGCAAAAAGCAUUGAGCAAGAACCACUUCUUGAAUUUGUAUUUGUUUCUGUUUUUUUUGUUCCUUAAGGACAAAAGUUAAAAAUGUAGUAAAAAUUACCGUUAAAGUAAUUUUGAAUAUGGAGGUGAAAAGUGGAAAAAUCAAAACUAUCAAUGAUGCCGAAAACAAGGAAGAGACGCGAUAUAUAACAAUUGUUUUCUUUAUGUGCUUUUGAAGUAAAAGAAGUAUAGCUUUAGUUCUACUAUUGUAUAAACCGACUAUAAUUUUUCGAAGCGAAAAGUAAAACCAUGAAGAGAAAACCGGUUGGUAGGAAAAAUAUAUCAAGAUAAAACAAUGUUCUUAUCUAAUGUAAAUCUAAUGUUUUGUUUACAACUAAUCCAUUAAUCAAAAACGCCGAAGGGGAAGUUUUGUGAGGAACUACAGAAACGUUAAGGGAGAAGAAGCGUAAUUACAUACACACAAACACACAUAAAAAUAGCAUGUACGUUCACUGUAACAAUGAUUAUUGAUUGAAUGUUGUAACUUGAGAUUUUCCUUUUUGUUAAUUGCUAACAAAACAAUGUUCUACCACUUUUUAGAACUUUUUUCCCGAAGCGCGACAAUGUAAACGAAGAUAGAAUAUUGAAAGAAAGCAAACAAACGAUCGCUUUUUUCUCUGAUUUUGUGUUUUGCAAAUAAAAGAUAGUGGAAAAGUGAAAGGCUCUUCCAGCAACCAAACCCAAUUUGGCUCUUAGAUGUUUUAAUGAAGUGAAAAAUUGUAAGCCUAUAAAAUCUGUCGUAUUAGUAACAAAAAAAAAGAAAAGAUGGGAAAAUUUAUUGACAUAACAUUUUUAAUGAGUAUAAAUAAUACAAUUAUUAUUGAUUUAUUAAUAAGAAAAAUAAAAGCUGGAGAAAAUCCAAGGUGAAA
Molecule: RNA transcript, 2359 nt
Organism: Topomyia yanbarensis
Lineage: Eukaryota; Metazoa; Arthropoda; Insecta; Diptera; Culicidae
Gene name: ras-related protein Rac1-like
Exons: 3
Source: RefSeq, a predicted model, not a curated record